This 492-nucleotide ribosomal RNA is filed under the name uncultured bacterium. Its description in RNAcentral is "partial 16S ribosomal RNA". It matches the Rfam family "Bacterial small subunit ribosomal RNA", at positions 29 to 507 of the family's 1533-position model. The record is from RNAcentral.
AGUGAACGCUGGCGGUAGGCCUAACACAUGCGAGUCGAACGGCAGCACAGUAAGAGCUUGCUCUUACGGGUGGCGAGUGGCGGACGGGUGAGGAAUACAUCGGAAUCUACUUUUUCGUGGGGGAUAACGUAGGGAAACUUACGCUAAUACCGCAUACGACCUACGGGUGAAAGCAGGGGAUCUUCGGACCUUGCGCGAUUGAAUGAGCCGAUGUCGGAUUAGCUAGUUGGCGGGGUAAAGGCCCACCAAGGCGACGAUCCGUAGCUGGUCUGAGAGGAUGGUCAGCCACACUGGAACUGAGACACGGUCCAGACUCCUACGGGAGGCAGCAGUGGGGACUAUUGGACAAUGGGCGCAAGCCUGAUCCAGCCAUACCGCGUGGGUGAAGAAGGCCUUCGGGUUGUAAAGCCCUUUUGUUGGGAAAGAAAAGCAGCAGGUUAAUACCCCGCUGUUCUGACGGUACCCAAAGAAUAAGCACCGGCUAACUUCGUG